Molecule: non-coding RNA, 85 nt
Organism: Tribolium castaneum (red flour beetle)
Lineage: Eukaryota; Metazoa; Arthropoda; Insecta; Coleoptera; Tenebrionidae
Gene: Mir2-2
Product: microRNA mir-2-2
Exons: 1
Source: RefSeq, marked provisional
GGUGUAGGCUUUCGCUCAUCAUCUGGUUGUGAAAUGUGAAUUUAUAUCAUAUCACAGCCAGCUUUGAUGAGCGCAAGAGUGCACU